UUUUUCUCUUCCUCUAUUCCCAGUUUUCGGCUGGCUUGACCAUUGGGAGGUCCUUCAUUGAACACUCUUUGAUAAGUGGACUUACUUAUAAUUGCCAAUUGGCAUUCGUAUUCCAGUGUUUUUGCUUCAUUGGCUGUUAUCAAGUCAAUCUGGUGCCUAUUCGAAAGCCUAUAGCAACACGAAUCAUGUAUUAUCAUUGCAAAUUGAGGAAGAAAGAUCAAAACCUUUACUAACUUAGACCACACUAUGAAUAUCAAUGACUCCAUAUAGUGGGGCCUAAUUUAGUAAAAAAAAAAUUUUUUCUAAAUUUCUUAAUUCUAGUUUUGUGCCACCACCAUCCUACAUGCUUUGGGCUCUGUGGCACUUCGUGCCCAUGGAAAGCCUCACUCUCUCCCCUGUCUUUUCCCCUCUUCUUUCUCUCUCUCUACCUUUCUCCCUCUCUACCAUCUUUUCUUUCUUCAUUUCUUUUGGCGGGAUGGCCCAAUGUUUUUAUGCGAGUUGAACGGAUGAGGAAUUCUACAUGCACCAUAGGCGGUGUAGAAAUAUAUAUAUUAUCUGUGGUGAUUGAUUUACGUAUGGGAUCGAAAUAUAAUAUAUGAAAAAAAAAUUUUUUUAUCAAUUUUAUGUAAAAAUUAAUCAUUACGGAUCGUGUACGUAGUUUUGUAACAUCCGUGAU
RNAcentral lists this long non-coding RNA (676 nucleotides) under Elaeis guineensis (African oil palm). RNAcentral describes it as "long non-coding RNA (EGUI_LNC061311)". The record is from RNAcentral. Lineage: Eukaryota; Viridiplantae; Streptophyta; Magnoliopsida; Arecales; Arecaceae.